GAUGAACGCUAGCUACAGGCUUAACACAUGCAAGUCGAGGGGAAACGACAUCGAAAGCUUGCUUUUGAUGGGCGUCGACCGGCGCACGGGUGAGUAACGCGUAUCCAACCUGCCCAUCACUUGGGAAUAACCUUGCGAAAGUAAGACUAAUACCCAAUGAUAUCCCACGAAGGCAUCGGAAUGGGAUUAAAGAUUUAUCGGUGAUGGAUGGGGAUGCGUCUGAUUAGCUUGUUGGCGGGGUAACGGCCCACCAAGGCAACGAUCAGUAGGGGUUCUGAGAGGAAGGUCCCCCACAUUGGAACUGAGACACGGUCCAAACUCCUACGGGAGGCAGCAGUGAGGAAUAUUGGUCAAUGGGCGAGAGCCUGAACCAGCCAAGUAGCGUGCAGGAAGACGGCCCUAUGGGUUGUAAACUGCUUUUAUAAGGGAAUAAAGUGGGUCACGUGUGACUUUUUGCAUGUACCUUAUGAAUAAAGACCGGCUAAUUCCGUG
This 492-nucleotide ribosomal RNA is filed under the name uncultured bacterium. RNAcentral describes it as "partial 16S ribosomal RNA". It matches the Rfam family "Bacterial small subunit ribosomal RNA", at positions 28 to 507 of the family's 1533-position model. The record is from RNAcentral.